GACGAACGCUGGCGGCGUGCUUAACACAUGCAAGUCGAGCGGUAAGGCCCUUUCGGGGGUACACGAGCGGCGAACGGGUGAGUAACACGUGGGUGACCUGCCCUCAGCUCUGGGAUAAGCCUGGGAAACCGGGUCUAAUACUGGAUAUGACUCCAUGACGCAUGUUGUGGGGUGGAAAGCCUUGUGCGGCUGAGGAUGGGCCCGCGGCCUAUCAGCUUGUUGGUGGGGUGAUGGCCUACCAAGGCGACGACGGGUAGCCGGCCUGAGAGGGCGACCGGCCACACUGGGACUGAGACGCGGCCCAGACUCCUAUGGGAGGCAGCAGUGGGGAAUCUUGCGCAAUGGGCGAAAGCCUGACGCAGCGACGCCGCGUGAGGGAUGACGGCCU
RNAcentral lists this ribosomal RNA (388 nucleotides) under uncultured bacterium. Its description in RNAcentral is "bacterial SSU rRNA". It matches the Rfam family "Bacterial small subunit ribosomal RNA", at positions 28 to 417 of the family's 1533-position model. The record is from RNAcentral.